RNAcentral lists this small nucleolar RNA (136 nucleotides) under Carlito syrichta (Philippine tarsier). RNAcentral's name for it is "Small nucleolar RNA SNORA42/SNORA80 family (ENSTSYG00000035520.1)". It matches the Rfam family "Small nucleolar RNA SNORA42/SNORA80 family". Rfam says of the family: The members of this family belong to the H/ACA class of snoRNAs that guide the sites of modification of uridines to pseudouridines. Human ACA42 (SNORA42) was cloned from HeLa cells by immunoprecipitation with anti-GAR1 antibody. Its is predicted to guide the pseudouridylation of residues U109 and U572 of 18S rRNA. The record is from Rfam by way of RNAcentral. Lineage: Eukaryota; Metazoa; Chordata; Mammalia; Primates; Tarsiidae.
GCAUGGGUUUGGAUUUAUGACAGGCCUGUCCUCCUGGACCUCUCCUAGUGCCUCAUGCCAGAGCAGGCUGUGGCCCCAAACCAUUGCCAGGCUUCUGUGCCCAGAGACUGCUGGCACUGAAGCAGAUUGCACAGUG